This 497-nucleotide ribosomal RNA is filed under the name uncultured bacterium. RNAcentral's name for it is "partial 16S ribosomal RNA". It matches the Rfam family "Bacterial small subunit ribosomal RNA", at positions 28 to 507 of the family's 1533-position model. The record is from RNAcentral.
GACGAACGCUGGCGGCGUGCCUAAUACACGCGAGUUGAGCGCUGAAGGUUGGUACUUGUACCAACUGGAUGAGCAGCGAACGGGUGAGUAACGCGUGGGGAAUCUGCCUUUGAGCGGGGGACAACAUUUGGAAACGAAUGCUAAUACCGCAUAAAAACUUUAAACACAAGUUUUAAGUUUGAAAGAUGCAAUUGCAUCACUCAAAGAUGAUCCCGCGUUGUAUUAGCUAGUUGGUGAGGUAAAGGCUCACCAAGGCGAUGAUACAUAGCCGACCUGAGAGGGUGAUCGGCCACAUUGGGACUGAGACACGGCCCAAACUCCUACGGGAGGCAGCAGUAGGGAAUCUUCGGCAAUGGACGAAAGUCUGACCGAGCAACGCCGCGUGAGUGAAGAAGGUUUUCGGAUCGUAAAACUCUGUUGGUAGAGAAGAACGUUGGUGAGAGUGGAAAGCUCAUCAAGUGACGGUAACUACCCAGAAAGGGACGGCUAACUACGUG